RNAcentral lists this ribosomal RNA (274 nucleotides) under uncultured bacterium. RNAcentral's name for it is "partial 16S ribosomal RNA". It matches the Rfam family "Bacterial small subunit ribosomal RNA", at positions 523 to 796 of the family's 1533-position model. The record is from RNAcentral.
AUACGGAGGGUGCAAGCGUUAAUCGGAAUUACUGGGCGUAAAGCGUGCGUAGGUGGUUUGUUAAGUCAGACGUGAAAGCCCCGGGCUCAACCUGGGAACUGCAUUUGAAACUGGCAUACUAGAGUAUAGGAGAGGAAAGUGGAAUUUCAGGUGUAGCGGUGAAAUGCGUAGAUAUCUGAAGGAACAUCAAUGGCGAAGGCAGCUUUCUGGACUAAUACUGACACUGAGGUACGAAAGCGUGGGUAGCAAACAGGAUUAGAAACCCUUGUAGUCC